CAAGCAUUUGAAGUACCAGGAAUUCAAUAAUGCAUAAUCCAAAAUUUACAGUAAAUAUCUAAAAACCUACAUUUUUCUUUUUCUUUUCCUCCUUGUUAAGGAUUAGUUGUAAAUAGAGUUCUAUUAGGAGUUAGAUUCCUAAUUAGUUUAUGAUUUGUAUUCCUAAAUAGCUAGGUAGCAUAGGAAUUCCUUAUAUAUAGACCUAUGUAAUCGAUUGACGACAUACAAGAAAUACAAUUACAAUAUAAUCUCUCAA
This is a non-coding RNA of Jatropha curcas, 256 nucleotides long. The record is from RefSeq and is a predicted model, not a curated record. NCBI's taxonomy places the organism in Eukaryota, Viridiplantae, Streptophyta, Magnoliopsida, Malpighiales, Euphorbiaceae.